AACGCACAUUGCGCCCUCUGGUAUUCCGGAGGGCAUGCCUGUUCGAGCGUCAUUACAACCCUCAAGCUCUGCUUGGUAUUGGGCGUCACCAGUUCUGGUGUGCUCUAAAAUCAGUGGCGGUGCCGUCUGGCUCUAAGCGUAGUACAUCUCUCGCUAUGGAUGCCUGGUGGAUGCUUGCCAAUAACCCCAAAUUUUUUAAGGUUGACCUCGGAUCAGGUAGGGAUACCCGCUGAACUUAA
This 239-nucleotide unclassified non-coding RNA is filed under the name uncultured fungus. Its description in RNAcentral is "sequence contains ITS2". The stretch from base 1 to 52 matches the Rfam family "5.8S ribosomal RNA", at positions 103 to 154 of the family's 154-position model. Lineage: Eukaryota; Fungi. The record is from RNAcentral.